Molecule: unclassified non-coding RNA, 466 nt
Filed under: Hevea brasiliensis (rubber tree)
Lineage: Eukaryota; Viridiplantae; Streptophyta; Magnoliopsida; Malpighiales; Euphorbiaceae
Source: RNAcentral
UAAGAAACCAAACCAAAAAAUGGAGGACAAUGGUGAAUUAUAGCUCAUUGCUUGAACAAAUACUAUGAACCUAAAACAAUACCCUCCCUAGUGAGAUUGGUUACACGAAGAACUGCUUGAGCACUCAAAGGUGAGAGCUUUGAUUGACAGAAAUGCUCCCAGGAUAUUGUUUCUGGGUCCUCACUCACGGUAAUUGUUUCUGGGUCUUCAUUCACUACUGGUGGGGGGAUAACAUUGAAUGCUUUUUCGUAGAUAUUUUGCAGUUCUAACAACAGUGAACGAGCGGCCUCCCUCGACUCAGGAAGCUGGUCACUGAGCUGCGAUGCAGCUAUUCGGAUCAAGUUCUCAAUUCCAUAUGCUUUAAUUCCCUCUACUCCCAGACGUGGUACACUUCGAGAAAAGCAGCUUGAAGCUUUUGCUCGAAUUCUAGGAUUUCUGUGUUUCAAAUUUGGUUGCAACUUCGGUA